This 305-nucleotide ribosomal RNA is filed under the name uncultured bacterium. Its description in RNAcentral is "bacterial SSU rRNA". It matches the Rfam family "Bacterial small subunit ribosomal RNA", at positions 335 to 651 of the family's 1533-position model. The record is from RNAcentral.
GUGCCUACGGGAGGCAGCAGUCGAGAAUCAUUCACAAUGGGGGAAACCCUGAUGGUGCGACGCCGCGUGGGGGAAUGAAGGUCUUCGGAUUGUAAACCCCUGUCAUGUGGGAGCAAAUUAAAAAGAUAGUACCACAAGAGGAAGAGACGGCUAACUACGUGCCAGCAGCCGCGGUAAUACGUAGGGAGCAAGCGUUAUCCGGAUUUAUUGGGUGUAAAGGGUGCGUAGACGGGCUAACAAGUUAGUUGUGAAAUCCCUCGGCUCAACUGAGGAGCUGCAACUAAAACUAUUAGUCUUGAGUGCGG